UCCAUGUACGAGCUUGACUGUUGUGGCCGAGGAGUUAGCCUCUUUGUUUUUUUUUUAAGUAACAGUUAGACAAUGAGAGAUGCUUUCGCCCAAAAUUAUGAAGUGGUUGAUGCUCUUUCCUCUGCCAACAUCGUAGUACAUCCAAACGGGAAUGAUUUCAACAAGUCCCGCGCUCCAACCUUAGUUUCAAGUGAACUGCUAAAGUACGCGGUCAAAGGAAAAGGUUUCCAAGAUCUUUCAGACAAUGGAAGAAGGAAUUGAUCCCUUAAUAUCAGAAACAGGGGUGCAAGGCCAUAGUAGUUACUGAUUAAAGUGGGAAAAGUAAACUUUGAAAACCUAAAACAGCAGUUUGAAGGUGGAGCAAUGAUCAGUGAAAAAAGUAUUCUUGAACACCUAGAUGCAUUUUAAGGCUACUGUAACUUUCAUCAUGAGGCACCUCCUAUCCUGCUACACUAUGUAAGUUGAGUUAAAGUGAUUUCUUAGUAUUGCAAUGCACAUCCUGUACUGGGCAUAAAAAUCAUAUAAUAACGCAAUUAAGUGUGUGCGCAUUUCUGAGGA
This 558-nucleotide unclassified non-coding RNA is filed under the name Pocillopora damicornis (cauliflower coral). Its description in RNAcentral is "uncharacterized LOC113664905, transcript variant X1". Lineage: Eukaryota; Metazoa; Cnidaria; Anthozoa; Scleractinia; Pocilloporidae. The record is from RNAcentral.